GGGUGAGUAACAUGUGGGUAUCUACCCUUUGGCCUGGAAUAACCCGAGGAAACUUGUGCUAAUACCGGAUAAGUCUUUACGGAGAAAGCUUUAUGCACCAUUGGAUGAGCCCGCACUUGAUUAGUUUGUUGGUAGGGUAAUGGCCUACCAAGACUAUGAUCAAUAGCUGAUUUGAGAGGAUGAUCAGCCACAUUGGGACUGAGACACGGCCCAAACUCCUACGGGAGGCAGCAGUGGGGAAUCUUGCACAAUGGAGGAAACUCUGAUGCAGCGAUGCCGCGUGAGUGAAGAAGGCCUUUGGGUUGUAAAGCUCUUUCGUCGGGGAAGAAAAUGACUGUACCCGAAUAAGAAGGUCCGGCUAACUUCGUGCCAGCAGCCGCGGUAAUACGAAGGGACCUAGCGUAGUUCGGAAUUACUGGGCUUAAAGAGUUCGUAGGUGGUUGAAAAAGUUGGUGGUGAAAUCCCAGAGCUUAACUCUGGAACUGCCAUCAAAACUUUUCAGCUAGAGUAUGAUAGAGGAAAGCAGAAUUUCUAGUGUAGAGGUGAAAUUCGUAGAUAUUAGAAAGAAUACCAAUUGCGAAGGCAGCUUUCUGGAUCAUUACUGACACUGAGGAACGAAAGCAUGGGUAGCGAAGAGGAUUAGAUACCCUCGUAGUCCAUGCCGUAAACGAUGUGUGUUAGACGUUGGAAAUUUAA
RNAcentral lists this ribosomal RNA (696 nucleotides) under uncultured bacterium. RNAcentral describes it as "bacterial SSU rRNA". It matches the Rfam family "Bacterial small subunit ribosomal RNA", at positions 104 to 834 of the family's 1533-position model. The record is from RNAcentral.